UCGGGUGUCGCGGAAUGUGGUGUUCAGGAGGACCGUGCGCGUCUGUCCGGUAUCGUCCAAGUCUCCAUGAAUGGGGCCAGCAACCCAGAGAGGGUGUCAGGCCCGUGGGACGAGCCGCGACCGUGUAUUGGGUCUCUCCUUAGAGUCGGGUUGCUUGAGAGUGCAGCCCUAAGCGGGAGGUAAACUCCUUCUAAGGCUAAAUACGGCCACGAGACCGAUAGCAAACAAGUACCGCGAGGGAAAGUUGAAAAGAACUUUGAAGAGAGAGUUCAAGAGUGCGUGAAACCGUUCAGGGGGUUAAACGGGUGGGCCCUCGAAGGUCGAACGGUCCCCACUCCCGUCACCUGUAGUGCCGGCCCGUGCUGCUUUUCGAUUCCGCUACGGAACGAGGCUUGGUGCGGUUCGCCGGUCUACGGGGGCCGCUAGCUGGGGACCCAGUAGGACUCCGCAACCGGCUGGGAGGCCGUCAGAAGGGUUCUGUGAGGAAGCCCCCUCGUUGGGGUGGAUUCCGGGAUUCCGGGCGGUCCUCUCGGCCGUGAACCAAAAUUUCUCUCCUCACGGGGAGAAUGAGCGGAGAGUAGAGUCGGGUCCCACCCGACCCGUCUUGAAACACGGACCAAGGAGUCUAACAUGUGCGCGAGUCGUCGGGUACUACUAAACCCGAAGGCGUAAUGAAAGUGAAGGCCGCCCUUGUUGGCGGCCGAGGGGAGAUCCCGUUCUGCUCCGGUAGCUCGGGCGCAUCCCCGGGGCGUCGAAGCCGCGUUGCCGGCUAGACGAACCAAGAGCGUACACGUUGGGACCCGAAAGAUGGUGACCUAUGCCUGGCCAGGACGAAGCCAGGGGAAACCCUGGUGGAGGUCCGCAGCGAUUCUGACGUGCAAAUCGAUCGUCUGAGUUGGGUAUAGGGGCGAAAGACUAAUCGAACCAUCUAGUAGCUGGUUCCCCCCGAAGUUCCCUCAGAAG
Molecule: ribosomal RNA, 963 nt
Filed under: Limnadia lenticularis
Lineage: Eukaryota; Metazoa; Arthropoda; Branchiopoda; Diplostraca; Limnadiidae
Description: eukaryotic LSU rRNA
Rfam family: Eukaryotic large subunit ribosomal RNA
Source: RNAcentral